UUUAAGUUUUUAUUUCCGGAAAACAAAAAUUCAGUAAUUCAGUGUACAAAAAAAAAAUUGGUUUCAAGUUAAAAAUUUGUUUGUUACUUUUUGGACACACGAACUCAAAGAAUGACUUUUGGGGAGGAAAGGCGGCUCUUCAAAUAAAGAAAGGCGAUAGUGAAGGUACCGGGAUAUCCGAGCAAAUACUCCCCCAGUUCGGAUUCCCAGUGGCUUGCAUCAAUAUUAAUAAUCACUAUAUUAAGCACUAUAUUAAGCACAGAGAAAGGGAAGGAAGGAAAUGGAAGGAUGGUGAUCCUUCAGACGAAGGAAGGACAUCGUGAUGGUACCUGGAAUAUCCGAUCAGUUAUUCCCUUAGUUCGGAUUCCCAGUGGCUUGCAUCAAUAUUAAUAAUCACUAUAUUAAGCAUUAUAUUAAGCACAGAGAAAGGGAAGGAUGGUGAUCCUUCAGACGAAGGAAGGACAUCGUGAUGGUACCUGGAAUAUCCGAUCAGUUAUUCCCUUAGUUCGGAUUCCCAGUGGCUUGCAUCAAUAUUAAUAAUCACUAUAUUAAGCAUUAUAUUAAGCACAGAGAAAGGGAAGGAUGGUGAUCCUUCAGACGAAGGAAGGACAUCGUGAUGGUACCUGGAAUAUCCGAUCAGUUAUUCCCUUAGUUCGGAUUCCCAGUGGCUUGCAUCAAUAUUAAUAAUCACUAUAUUAAGCAUUAUAUUAAGCACAGAGAAAGGGAAGGAUGGUGAUCCUUCAGACGAAGGAAGGACAUCGUGAUGGUACCUGGAAUAUCCGAUCAGUUAUUCCCUCAGUUCGGAUAUACAGUGGCUCGCAUCAAUACCAAAUACAAAUUAUGCAACGAGAUCAAAACCGAAUAAAUUAAUCGACACACAGAUU
Drosophila persimilis is the source of this 884-nucleotide long non-coding RNA. RefSeq lists it as uncharacterized. NCBI's taxonomy places the organism in Eukaryota, Metazoa, Arthropoda, Insecta, Diptera, Drosophilidae. The record is from RefSeq and is a predicted model, not a curated record. The transcript has 6 exons.